UCCGAAUUGGUGUAGUGGCUAACAUUUGACGCUCUCAUUGGCAUCCCACCAACUAGAACCGUCAAGCCCGGGGUUCGAUUCCCCGAUUCGGAG
This 93-nucleotide transfer RNA is filed under the name Hypoxylon cercidicola. RNAcentral describes it as "tRNA-Glu". It matches the Rfam family "tRNA". From Rfam's summary of the family: Transfer RNA (tRNA) molecules are approximately 80 nucleotides in length. Their secondary structure includes four short double-helical elements and three loops (D, anti-codon, and T loops). The record is from RNAcentral. Lineage: Eukaryota; Fungi; Ascomycota; Sordariomycetes; Xylariales; Hypoxylaceae.